This 1113-nucleotide ribosomal RNA is filed under the name Yersinia pestis Pestoides A. RNAcentral's name for it is "bacterial LSU rRNA". It matches the Rfam family "Bacterial large subunit ribosomal RNA", at positions 1 to 1157 of the family's 2925-position model. Lineage: Bacteria; Pseudomonadati; Pseudomonadota; Gammaproteobacteria; Enterobacterales; Yersiniaceae. The record is from RNAcentral.
GGUUAAGCGACUAAGCGUACACGGUGGAUGCCUAGGCAGUCAGAGGCGAUGAAGGGCGUGCUAAUCUGCGAAAAGCGUCGGUAAGCUGAUAUGAAGCGUUAUAACCGACGAUACCCGAAUGGGGAAACCCAGUGCAAUACGUUGCACUAUCGUUAGAUGAAUACAUAGUCUAACGAGGCGAACCGGGGGAACUGAAACAUCUAAGUACCCCGAGGAAAAGAAAUCAACCGAGAUUCCCCCAGUAGCGGCGAGCGAACGGGGAGGAGCCCAGAGUCUGAAUCAGUUUGUGUGUUAGUGGAAGCGUCUGGAAAGUCGCACGGUACAGGGUGAUAGUCCCGUACACCAAAAUGCACAGGCUGUGAACUCGAUGAGUAGGGCGGGACACGUGACAUCCUGUCUGAAUAUGGGGGGACCAUCCUCCAAGGCUAAAUACUCCUGACUGACCGAUAGUGAACCAGUACCGUGAGGGAAGGCGAAAAGAACCCCGGCGAGGGGAGUGAAAUAGAACCUGAAACCGUGUACGUACAAGCAGUGGGAGCACCUUCGUGGUGUGACUGCGUACCUUUUGUAUAAUGGGUCAGCGACUUAUAUUUUGUAGCAAGGUUAACCGAAUAGGGGAGCCGUAGGGAAACCGAGUCUUAACUGGGCGUCUAGUUGCAAGGUAUAGACCCGAAACCCGGUGAUCUAGCCAUGGGCAGGUUGAAGGUUGGGUAACACUAACUGGAGGACCGAACCGACUAAUGUUGAAAAAUUAGCGGAUGACUUGUGGCUGGGGGUGAAAGGCCAAUCAAACCGGGAGAUAGCUGGUUCUCCCCGAAAGCUAUUUAGGUAGCGCCUCGUGAACUCAUCUUCGGGGGUAGAGCACUGUUUCGGCUAGGGGGCCAUCCGGCUUACCAAACCGAUGCAAACUCCGAAUACCGAAGAAUGUUAUCACGGGAGACACACGGCGGGUGCUAACGUCCGUCGUGAAGAGGGAAACAACCCAGACCGCCAGCUAAGGUCCCAAAGUCAUGGUUAAGUGGGAAACGAUGUGGGAAGGCACAGACAGCCAGGAUGUUGGCUUAGAAGCAGCCAUCAUUUAAAGAAAGCGUAAUAGCUCACUGGUCGAGUCGG